UGGGGAAUAUUGCACAAUGGAGGAAACUCUGAUGCAGCGACGCCGCGUGAAUGAUGAAGGCCUUCGGGUUGUAAAGUUCUGUCCUUGGGGAAGAUAAUGACGGUACCCAAGGAGGAAGCCCCGGCUAACUACGUGCCAGCAGCCGCGGUAAUACGUAGGGGGCGAGCGUUGUCCGGAAUUAUUGGGCGUAAAGGGUUCGCAGGCGGUCUGAUAAGUCAGAUGUGAAAGGCGUAGGCUCAACCUACGUAAGCAUUUGAAACUGUCAGACUUGAGUUAAGGAGAGGAAAGUGGAAUUCCUAGUGUAGCGGUGAAAUGCGUAGAUAUUAGGAGGAAUACCAGUGGCGAAGGCGACUUUCUGGACUUAUACUGACGCUGAGGAACGAAAGCGUGGGGAGCAAAC
This 400-nucleotide ribosomal RNA is filed under the name uncultured bacterium. RNAcentral's name for it is "bacterial SSU rRNA". It matches the Rfam family "Bacterial small subunit ribosomal RNA", at positions 355 to 773 of the family's 1533-position model. The record is from RNAcentral.